This 497-nucleotide ribosomal RNA is filed under the name uncultured bacterium. RNAcentral describes it as "partial 16S ribosomal RNA". It matches the Rfam family "Bacterial small subunit ribosomal RNA", at positions 28 to 507 of the family's 1533-position model. The record is from RNAcentral.
GAUGAACGCUGGCGGCGUGCCUAAUACAUGCAAGUCGAGCGGACAGACGCGGCUCUUGCUCCGCUGACGUUAGCGGCGUGCGUGUGAGUCACACGUGUAUACCCUCCCUAUCAGACUGAGAUCACUUCGGGAAACCGGAUCUAAUACCGGAUCAUAUCUUGAACCGCGUGGUUCAAUAGAGAAAGACGGUUUUGCUGGCACUAAUAGCUGGAUCCCGGCCGGAUUAGCUAGUUGGUACGGUAGCGGCCUACCAAGGCUAGGAUGCGUAGCCGACCUGAGAGAGUGAUAGGCCACACUGGAACUGAGACACGGCCAAGACUCCUACGGGAGGCAGCAGUAGGGAAUCGUCGGCAAUGGGCGAAAGCCUGACGGAGCAACGCCGCGUGUGUGAUGAAAGUCUUCGGAUCGUAAAGCUCUGUUAUUAGGGAAGAACAGCUGUGGAAGUAAACAUGGCCGUCUUGACGGUACCUAAUCAGAAAGCACCGGCUAACUACGUG